CAGCAGCCGCGGUAAUACAGAGGGUGCGAGCGUUAAUCGGAUUUACUGGGCGUAAAGCGUGCGUAGGCGGCUUUUUAAGUCGGAUGUGAAAUCCCCGAGCUUAACUUGGGAAUUGCAUUCGAUACUGGUUAGCUAGAGUGUGGGAGAGGAUGGUAGAAUUCCAGGUGUAGCGGUGAAAUGCGUAGAGAUCUGGAGGAAUACCGAUGGCGAAGGCAGCCAUCUGGCCUAACACUGACGCUGAGGUACGAAAGCAUGGGGAGCAAACAGGAUUAGAUACCCGGGUAGUCCCUGUCUCUUAUAC
RNAcentral lists this ribosomal RNA (301 nucleotides) under uncultured bacterium. RNAcentral's name for it is "partial 16S ribosomal RNA". It matches the Rfam family "Bacterial small subunit ribosomal RNA", at positions 509 to 807 of the family's 1533-position model. The record is from RNAcentral.